GGCUCUGUGGCGCAAUGGAUAGCGCGUUGGACUUCUAGUGGAUCCAUUCAGAUGCAUUUCAAAGGUUGUGGGUUCCAGUCCCACCAAAGUCG
Molecule: non-coding RNA, 92 nt
Organism: Oreochromis niloticus (Nile tilapia)
Lineage: Eukaryota; Metazoa; Chordata; Actinopteri; Cichliformes; Cichlidae
Source: Rfam